This is a long non-coding RNA of Homo sapiens (human), 709 nucleotides long. Lineage: Eukaryota; Metazoa; Chordata; Mammalia; Primates; Hominidae. The record is from Ensembl.
GCUGGGAAGGGAGGGCAAAGGGCCAUGUCUUUCGCUUGCUCCACCCAGCUGCCAAGAGUCCCAGUCACCAGGCCACCCUAAGUCCCAGCCCUUGAGGGUCCAUGAGACUGGGGCAGCAGCAGGGGCAGGUACAGAGCACCUCAGCCGCCUCUCCACCUGACAGCAACAUCAAAGCCGAGGCCAAGGCGGGAGGGCCCAGAGUGAGACACCUCUUCCAGACAAGACUUGGUCGCUGCCUCCUCCUCUGUCACCCUGCGACACAGCCCAGAGUACCAGGCGGCUGGAGCACUGGGGGACACCCGGACAGAACCCUCCCUGGACCAAGUCCUCCAGGAACGGGAUGAAGCCAUUGCCAAGAAGCAGGCGGUGGAGGCGGAGCUGCAGAGAUGCAAAGCCAGGCUACACGCCAUGGAGGCCCAGCUGCUGGAGGUCCUGGAGGAGAAACUGAGGCUGAGGCGGGAGCUGGAGGCCUGGGAGGAGGACGUGCAGCAGCUGGUGUGGCAGCAGGUCCAGAAUCAGCUGCAGAGAGAGGCCAAGGGUACUCGGGGAGCCCACGUGGACCCUGGAGCUGCCAGCACCCCCCGAUCCAGAUUCUCCCUGGGUCGGGGACGUUGGUGGUGACACAGACCUCAGCCCAGGACUUUGGGAGUAGUGUCUUUAUUCAUUAAAGCCUGAGGUCUGACCACCCCUGUAAAACCUCGUGCCCACA